ACGCCCUCGGGUCGUAAAGCUCUGUCNUCAGGGGCGAAUGGCCCGGUUCGGGAAAUGGGUUCGGNUUGGCGGUACCUGAAGAAGAAGCCCCGGCUACCUACGUGCCAGCAGCCGGGGUAAUACGUAGGUGGCGAGCGUUCUCCGGAAUUACUGGGGGUAAAGGGUGCGCAGGUGGGGNUCUUUAAGUCCCUUUUUGAAAAUUUCGGAGGUUCAACUCNGUGAUGGGAUGAAAACUGGGAUUCUUGAAGUCCGGAAGAGGGAAAGCGGAAUUCCCCCGUGUAGCGGUGAAAUGUGUAGAUAUGGGGAGGAACCCCAGUGGCGAAGGCGUCUUUCUUGGACGGUGUCUGACCCUGGAGCGCGAAAACAAGGGGAGCAACGGGAUUUAGAUUCCCCGGUAGUCUUGCCGUAAACGAUGG
This 416-nucleotide ribosomal RNA is filed under the name uncultured bacterium. RNAcentral describes it as "bacterial SSU rRNA". It matches the Rfam family "Bacterial small subunit ribosomal RNA", at positions 412 to 812 of the family's 1533-position model. The record is from RNAcentral.